ACAAUGAUGAUGUCACUGAUUCUACUGCUGGCCACCCUGGGGCUCCUUGUUCAGGGUUCAUCAGGACAAAUCAUCCUGACUCAGUCUCCUGGAUCUCAGUCUGUUGUUCCAGGACAGGCUGUCUCUCUCAAAUGUAAAACCAGUGCAAGUGUUACUAGUUCUGGUUACAGCUACCUCAGCUGGUACCUUCAGAAACCUGGAGAAGCUCCUAAACUCCUGAUUUAUGCAGCUACAACUCGUCAGUCUGGAGUUCCAGAUCGUUUUAGUGGAAGUGGAUCUGGGACUGACUUCACUCUGACCAUCAGUGGAGUUCAGGCUGAAGAUUCAGGAGUUUACUACUGUCAGCAAUAUCAAAGCUAUCCACUCACACAGUGAUACAACGUCGUACAAAAACCUCCCUCAGCUGGAGAGGAACUGAUCUGACUCAACAGCUGCACUGAAACUAAAACAGAGGUUUAUAAAAAUGCACAUUUAGCCAAUAAUUAUUCACAUUAAUGAUUGCAACACUAAAUAUUCUUUAAUAUAUAAUAUUCUAGAAGUUAUACUUCUAAUAUGUUUAUUAAAACAGAUUUUGAACCAUUCUUCUGAACAUUAAAGCUAACCUCUGUUGAAUUAUGAUGUGUGUGAUAUUCAUGAAAACACAAGG
This is a non-coding RNA of Micropterus salmoides (largemouth bass), 646 nucleotides long. The record is from the annotation of a RefSeq genome assembly. NCBI's taxonomy places the organism in Eukaryota, Metazoa, Chordata, Actinopteri, Centrarchiformes, Centrarchidae.